AUAACUACUAAAUAGUGUAUUUUAAUUGUUAUUUUUAAUUCUCGCGUUGCAUUUACUAUAUAAAAAGAAAUGAAGAAAUAGUCUGAACCAUCUUGUGAAAGAUGGAAAUAAAGGAUAAAUAACCUUUAUGAUAACAAAUUUUGAACAGGCUAAUUGCGCCAGGAAGUACAAAUUGAGUGCGCAGUUUGGCACCUCGAUGUCGGCUUAACUUAUCCACAUGAAUGCAGGAAUCAUGAAGGGUUCGACUGUUCGUCGAUUAAUAAGUUACACGAGCUGGGUUAAAUACGUCGUGAGACAGUAUGGUUUCUAUCUUCUAGAGGAAAUUAGAAUAAAAUAAGGAUAGCCCCCUCGUACGAAAGGAGCUGGGUAUAUUAACCUAUGGUUUACCUGUUGUUUAUGUGCCCAAUAUUAAUAAAAGUAUAAUUAAGUUUAUACAGGGAUGUUACUUUCACUUAAGUAAAUAUAUAGCAUAGGCACGGCAGGAACGCUACGUUAGUUAAAGAUAAGUGCUGAAUGCAUCUAGGCGCGAAACUUACUUUAAGAUAUUCUUAAAUAUAGGUAGUUUAACACUACGAUUUCCAUAUUUUAUUAAAUAUGUGAUUAAUAGGCUUUAGCUGAAAGAAUUUAAAUGUUUUUAGGCAUAAAGUACUAAUUUUAUAAAUAACUGAUUAUU
Molecule: ribosomal RNA, 673 nt
Organism: Pseudogymnoascus pannorum
Lineage: Eukaryota; Fungi; Ascomycota; Leotiomycetes; Thelebolales; Thelebolaceae
Rfam family: Bacterial large subunit ribosomal RNA
Source: Rfam